CAAAACUCUGGUAAAGCUAACUCUCAAAACUCCUUAUCAUUACUAUCAAUUUUCUUAAAAAAUAAUAAACAAGAGAACAUAUAUAUGAUAUGCUUCAAAUUUUUUUCCGAUAAUUAGAUGCAAGUGAAAUCGUGAAUGAAGCUGUUGGAAACUGUGCCUUGGCUUGUUCUAAAGUCUGCAACAAAGGUUCGAUGAAUGCAGUGGAAACUGCCUAAACAACCUUAUUCACAAAGAUCCGAAGUACAUCAUCUAUGGAGUGUUGUUUUUCAUGUUUUUCAUGAUUUCAUCAAUAAUUGUCGUGUAUGUGGCAAAAAUAUAGAAGGUUAUCGAUCCCUAGAUUGUAUAUGCCUUCUAUUCCCUAUAUUUUCAAUAAUAUGUAAUUGUGUCGUUAUAUUUUUCGUUCAACCAUUAAAGUUGCUUUGUGCUUAGCUAUAUUACAUAGUAUCAACCAUUUUAGCAAACUAUUUGAUUAAUAUUCACAUAAAAAUUCAAUCUAAAAGACGAGACUUAAGUCACCACCUUCAUAUGCCAUAAAUGAUGCAUGAAACAUACCAUAAGUCACGAUAAUUGUUUUCUUAAUCUCACAACAGUAAUAUCAUGGAAACUAAAAUCAAAGGUUUCUCAAAAGAUUGAAGCCUAGAUUGUAAGUCGCAACUAAUUUCCAAGACAAUGCUUCAUUAAACAUGGAAUUCAUAAUAGUCGAGUUGCAGGAAAUAUGGCGAUACAUGCAGAGAAGUUUUAAAAAGAGAUACCGAUUUAUAUAUAAGAAAAUAGAUCAAGAUUACAAUAGUUGAAGCUAGUUAGAGCAGAGAAUACAUGAGAGACAGAUUUCAAAAACCUAAUGUUGAAGCCAAUCAAAGUUGUUGAAAAACAUUUCUGCAAAACACAUUUAUUAUGUACAACAAUGUAACUGCUUCAUUUUGCUAUUAAAAAACUCACUGAACAAUCCGAAAUUAGCUUGUCAUACGAUGGGAAGCUCCAGUAUCCGAGAAUAUACUUUUCUUUUAUAAACUAAAAUAAAAAAGAUAGGUAUAAUUUUCUUGCAUAAUAUAGUUAUCGAACAUGUUUACAUGUAAAAAUUGUCAAGUGGUUUUGAGUUUAAAGCAUUUUUUGUAAACUCAUCAUCUCAAUCAUUUCAUAUUAUUGGUAACUUUCUUUUUCAAAUUAUUAACUCUCAUAUAAUUUUUGUUAACUUUCUUUUUCAAUCAUCUCAAAGUUUAUAGAGAGAGAAUACUUAUAAUACAAACUCUAAUAUAAACCAAAUUAGUAUAAUUAAGAACGUACAUAAUAAUAACACGGUUAGUAAGAACAUAAAGAAUAUAACCAGCAAAACUCAUACGAAAUAUAUAAUAGUGAAUCAAAAGAAUGAAAAAAGAAUAAAAAACAAGAUUUCAGAGCAUUAAGAUUGAAAAAAAAGAAAAGAUAGGGUUGGUCCAACGCAGCAUCGACAGACAUUUAUUUGGCAUUUAUUUGGUCCUUGAUGUAUAUAUUAUUUGGUCCCGACUAUAGAGAGCAUGUGAUAAAUUAGGCAUUUAUUUGGUCCCGACGUAUAUAUAUUAUUUUUUAAAAAAUUAAUGUAAAUUAUAUUCAAAAGAAACUUUUUUUAAACCUCGUGCAUGUUUGUUUGAAAUCUAAAACUGAGAAAGAAAUUUAGAAACCAAAGCUUAAUUUGUAGAGUAAAACCAAAACUACAAGAAAACAUACAUUUAGCAACUGUAGAAUUAGACAUUAAAUAGUCGCUUAAUUGUGUUUUACGACUACUUUAUGUAGUCGAAAAUACUUAGUCGCUAAUAGGAAUAGUCGCUAUAUAGUCGAUAUACGCCCAUACGCACAAGAAAAGAAUAAGUAAUCGUGAGAUUCCAGAGUAUUAUCACAGAGAACUCACCUUCCCGAACCACCAUUGUUCCAUUGCAUCAUACGGUCACCUGUAGCGAGCCCUAGAAGUGAUUUGGUUAUAACUGAUAACUAGAAACACAAAACACGUUCUAACAAACUCUUUGGAUUUUUGCCAUCAUCUAGACAUAACUAGAAGAGAUGUAGUUAUAACUGAUAACUAGAAACUCUUAUCAACCACAAUAAAGAAACACAAAACACGUUGUAACAAACUACAUGUUCUUGCGCUUCUCGAUUCUUACACAAGUUACGUUCUUAUCAUUCCCUCCUCAAUCUACACAUGCACUUUUUCAUUCAUAUAUAUAUUUAAAAUUAUUUACACGAGGAAUGAUACAAAUCUGUAGACAGAAUACUUAUAAUAUAUACGUAUAUAGUUAUAAACCAACUUAGUCUAAGAACGUACAAUAUAUAACCAGGAAAACUCAUACGAAAUUAAUAGUGAAUCCUUAUUAAGCAACACAAAUUAAAGCUUUAACCAAUUUAUAUUUUAAUGGUUAAUCAGAAGAAAAAAAGGAAUAAACAUAUCAAACGAUAAGAUUAGGUUAGUCCACGCAGCAUGGGCAGACAGUCUAUAGAGAGCAAGUGAUAUCAAAUGAAGUUUGUGGUUACCAAACUUAGACCAACUAGUAUAUAAGGGAGCCUUGUUCCAUCACCGAUUCAUCAAUUCAAACUUAUAACUCUCUACAUAUACAUAUUGCAAUCAAACAACCGAUCAAUCCAAAGAUGGAAGGCAAAACAUUGAUUCUAAGUGUUCUCGUUAUGAGCCUCUUCAUGGCACAAAUCCAAGUUGACGCCAAGAGCUGCUGUCCUACCAGCACUGCUAGAAAUAUCUAUAAUAGUUGCCGCGUUGUGGGAGGUUCCAGGCCAACAUGUGCAGGCCUCAGUGGCUGCAAAAUCGUUGAUGGGUCAUGUCCUAAUGGAUAUCCUAAUGAGAAUCUUGAAAACACAAGUAAAUAAAACAUAUUGUGCUUUACUAUGUACGUUAUUUGUCUUAAAGGGAAAAAUCAAGAUUUAAUAAGAAGAAACAGUUAAGACCUAAACAAGCAUUGAUCCAUCUGACUGAGGAAAAAGAAAAGAACCUUGUUGAGUGCAGAGACCGAUGAGGGAGUAACUGGUGAUGACACUGAGACACAAAUCCUUCCUUUUGUGCCAUGAAUUAGGGCUUUCUUCAGGGAAGCUUCGAACCGAGACACACAGAGAGACCCUGAUCAACUAAACCACAAAUAAAACACAUUUAGUUAUAUAUAUAUAUAUAACUGGAGAAAAAAUUAUUUUAAUUAAACCAAAAAUAAAACACAAUUGAUCAUCUUUAUUUAUCUCUCACUUUAAUUUUAAACUGAAAAAUUUAUAUUCAAUUAAAACACAAUUAAUUAGAUCUCUACAUUUAACCCACACUUUAAUAUAAGAACUGAAAUUACAUAAAUUUGCAUUAACUAUAUUUCUCUACUCAAUUUUAUUCAACACAAAAUUAAUAAGAAUUAACUCCCACAAUUGUUGAUUCACUAUCACAUAACAAAAACAUCUAUUUUACUGAAUUUGCAUACAUUUUAUUUAAUUUACUUCCAUCAUUAAAGUGAAAAAAAGAACAGAGUAUUUUAUAAGGUUUCACUAUCUUCUUAUUGGUCUAUUUUCUAUAAAAUGUUUUUUAAAUGAUGUUUUCAACUAAACCAAAAAUAAAACACAUUUAGUUAUAUAUAUUAAACUCACACUUUAAUAUAAAACUAAAGAAAAAAUUAUUUUAAUUUAGCCACAAAUAAAACAAAUGUGAUCAUAUAUAUUUAUCUCACACUUUAAUUUAAAACCAAACGAUAUAUAUUAAUUAAAACCCAAUUAAUUAUAUACAUUUAACUCACACUUUAAUAUAAAAACUGAAAUAAUAUAAACUUGCAUUAACUAUAUUUUUCUACUCAAUUUUAGUCAACACGCAAUAAAUUAGAAUUAACUCCCACAAUUUUUUUCUUCUAAAUUAUAACUCAUCACUUCUCAUCUUAUAAAGGGUUAGUUAAACGCAGUUAAAAGUAAGUACACAAAUAAACCAAAAACAAAAAGGAAGGUAUUGAUAAGUUAAAAUUUAGUUUUUUCAAUGAGAGGGAGGAAAAAUUACUUGGCUAUCCCUAUACUAAUUUAACAAAAACAAAAAUUUUGCAAGGCUGUGAAAGUAUCUUAUUUUCUGGGCAAAUCUCUGACAAGAGGCGCCAACUUGGGGAAAAGUGAUUUAUAUCAACAAAAUGAUGAUGCGCUAUAUAGAUUGCUAUCAGAUAACUAAGUUGCAUAUAUAGAUUGUUAUCGGAUAACUAUGAUGUUAUCAAAUAUAAAUUGUUAGAUAAAAUUGCAUAUAUAGAUUGUUAUCGGAUAACUAAGUUGUUAUCAAAUAUAUAUAUGCUGAUUAAUAAUAUAUAAAGCGAUAAGUCCUAUGUUACGUCGGUAACCCUAUCGUAGUUAAAUUUGUAAAGUCUCUGAUUUAAAUGUUAUCGGAUAACGUGGACGUUAUGGUGGCAAGAUUGCAUGUCCUCGCUGAAUAAACCAAACAUAGUAGUUAAACUUGGUUCAUAUUUUUAGGAGGAUAGGGUUAAAAUUGUCUACAUAAAAAGAAAGCAAAAUAAUGAUUUAUGGAUGUUAGAUUCUUAAUUAAAUGGUCAACUAGGUCUAUGAGUUAUAAUUUCCCUCUUAUAAAUACUCAUUUUCUCAUUCUCUCAUUCCCUCCUCCUCUUCCACUUUCUCUCAAAUCUUCUAUAAUUUUGUUUGUUUUGUUUUGUGUUUUUUUUUGUUGGUUAUCUGUUGUUUGUGGUUGUAUGAGUUGAAAAAUAAAAUUUAAAUACCAUUGUAAAAGUUUAAUCUAAAUUUUAAUUUUAGACACUAUAUGAUAUAUAUUUACAUUGUUGUAUUGAUUUUUUAAGAUUUAUCUCUAUUGUCUAUUAUCUUAUAAUUAAUCUCUCUCACUCUCUCUCUCUCUCUCUCUCUCUCUCUCUCUCUCUCUCUCUCUCUCUCUCUCUCUCUCUCUCUCUCUCUCUCACUACAUUCAUGUAUCUUAAAUAUUUUUCUAUUUUGUGUUAUUAUAUGGAUUGAAAAUCAAUGAAAGUAUCAUUUAAAUAAUUUGAUCUUAAUUUAUUUUAGAAAGUAUGAUAUAUAUCAAACUUAGUUUCAACUUUUAUUUCUAAUGCCUUAUUAUACAUACUUUUUCAAUUUUUAUUUCUAAUGCCUUAUUAUACAUACUUUUCAUACUUAUGAGUAUAAAUGAAGAAAGUAUGAUAUACCACAUAUGUAAAAUAAAAGUUUUGAUUGCUAUAUAAAUAAAAGGUUCAAUUUAAACCUUUAAAAAUAACUUCUUCUAUUUUUUAAAAAAUCUCAAAUAUUUUUUUUGUAAUUCAAUUCAAUAUAUGUAUAAUUAUUUACUUUGUGAUCCAAUAGAUUAUUAUAUAAAAAUUGUUAUAAUAUGUAAUUUAUUUAAAAUUUGAGGUCUAAGUGUUUAAAAGAAACAAAAAGUACUUGAUUUUACAAAUUUGGUCUUUAAAGUUUUAUUUUUUAAAAGUCAUACCGUUCAUAAAAGUUAAAUUUAGUUUAAUUCAUUCAUCAAUUGAGUAGACAGUGAAUUAAUGAGCUUCUAAAAUCCUAUUAAAUUAUGAGAUUUAAUAAGGUAUGAGUUCUACAAUAAUAUCAUAUACACUCUACACUCUUAGUAACUUAACCAUUUGUUCUAAAUAAUAGUCUUUCUUUUCAUAACAAUAUAAAUAUCUACCCCAAGUUAGAAUUUCCUAGAGAGACCGAACAUAAAUUCGAUUUCUUAAGAGCAAUUCAUGAUUGUUGUCAUGUACAUAUAAUUGAUAUAUAACUUCGUUCAUCUUCUUUGUUAAUGUUGAGGUAAACAUGUGAUGCCUUUUUAAUAUAAAUUCAUUUCUUUAGCUUUUAUAGUAAUGUAAAUCUUUAUGUUUGUUCUUAAAUGUUUUCAAUAUUAGUUUUAUUUUUGAACAAAUUCUACAUAAAAAAUUCUUACUAUAUAAAAAAGGAUCUCAUCUACGUAUAUGUGAACAAAUUUGUAUUACUUUGUUUUGAUCUCAUUCGGUUUCAUAUUUUUUAAAUAUAUAUUUUAUUUACUUUUACUGUUUAUAAUGUACACAUAUAUGUUUUAUAUUAACAAUUACUUAUAAACUAUAUAUAUCUUAAUGUAGUUUUCAAUUUAUAUUGCAAAUUAAUAUUUCAUAUACAACCGACGCAUUGCGUGGGUAACUUUCUGAUGAGUUAAUAUAUUUGUGAAUUCGUUUUAAUUACUGAGCCUAAUUGUGUGUUCUGUCGAAGAGUGAGCUAUUUUUUUUCCCUGUGAAGCUUAAUUAGUUUCUUAUGAUCAUAUAAAGCAAUGCGUACAUAAUCACUUUAGUUGUUUUUAUAAUGCUACAUAGACAACAAUUUAUGAGGUUAAAAAUCCAAAAUUUUGAUAAAUUAUUUCAUUUAAUUUACGUUAUAUUUUUUUAUUUUUAAUUGGCACUAGAUAAAGUGUAUUCUUGACUGAAUUUUUAAGUAUUGUUUCUACGUACUCCAUUUUAAGCAUUUGUUUGCCAUGCGUGAAAUAGAUUCAAUCAAAGUUGUGUUUAAAAAAAAAAAAAGAGAUAUCGAUUUAUAUAUAAGAAAACAGAUCAAGAUUACAAUAGUUGAAGCUAGUUAGAGCAGAGAAUACAUGAGAGACAGAUUUCAAAAACCUAAUGUUGAAGCCAAUCAAAGUUGUUGAAAAACAUUUCUGCAAAACACAUUUAUUAUGUACGAAAAUACAACAAUGUAACUGUUUCAUUUUGCUAUUAAAAAACUCACUGAACAAUCCGAAAUUAGCUUGUCAUACGAUGGGAAGCUCCAGUAUCCGAGAAUAUACUUUUCUUUUAUAAACUAAAAUAAAAAAGAUAGGUAUAAUUUUCUUGCAUAAUAUAGUUAUCGAACAUGUUUACAUGUAAAAAUUGUCAAGUGGUUUUGAGUUUAAAGCAUUUUUUGUAAACUCAUCAUCUCAAUCAUCUCAUGUUAUUGGUAACUUUCUUUUUCAAAUUAUUAACUCUCAUAUAAUUUUUGUUAACUUUCUUUUUCAAUCAUCUCAAAGUUUAUAGAGAGAGAAUACUUAUAAUACAAACUCUAAUAUAAACAAAAUUAGUAUAAUUAAGAACGUACAUAAUAAUAACACGGUUAGUAAGAUCAUACAGAAUAUAACCAGCAAAACUCACACGAAAUAUAUAAUAGUGAAUCAAAAGAAUGACAAAAAGAAUAAAAAAAGAUAGGGUUGGACAGACAUUUAUUUGGCAUUUAUUUGGUCCUUGAUGUAUAUAUAUUAUAUGGUCCCGACUAUAGAGAGCAUGUGAUAAAUUUGGCAUUUAUUUUGUCCCGACUAUAUAUUCUAUUUUUUUUUUAAAUAAUAUAAAUUAGAUUCAAAAGAAUUUUUUUUUUACAACUCGUGCAGGUUUGUUUGAAAUCUAAAACUAGGAAGGAAAUUUAGAAAAGAAAGCUUAAUCUGUAGAGUAAAACCAAAACUACAAGAAAACAUGCAUUUAGCGAUUGUAGAAUUAGUCGCUAAAUAAUCCAACAUAAUUGUGUUUUACGACUAUUUACGACUAUGUAAAUAGUUAGUCGCUAAUAGGAAUAGUCGCCAUAUUAUAGUCGUUAUACGCCCAUACGCACAAAAAAAGAAUAAGUAAUCGCGAGAUUCCAGAGCAUUAUCACAGAGAACGCACCUUCCCCAACCACCAUUGUUCCAUUGCAUCAUACGGUCACCUGUAGCGAGCUAACCACGUCCAAAGGCAAACUUUGGUGUGGCGUGGCGGAAACACAGUCCCUUAGACCAAAACACCUCAGCUAUAUAUUACAUUCAAAUCUCCAAUACAAAACAAAAUGUUGAUUAAAACAAAAAGAAUCACAAAAGACGUUCUAUCAAAUUAUAAUUGGAUUUUUUCCAUCAUCUCGACAUAACUAGAAGAGAUUUAGUUAUAACUAAUAACUAGAAACUCCUACCAACCACAAUAAAGAUUUCAACUAUCCUUUAAGAUAAGGUUGGUUUACACAGCAUGGACAGACAGUCUAUAGAGAGUAAGUGAUAUCAAACGAAGUUUGUGGUUACCAAACUUAAACCAACUAGUAUUUAAGGGAGCCUUGUUCCAUUACCAAUUCAUCAAUUCAAACUUAUAACUCUCUACAUAUACAUACUGCAAUCAAACAACCGAUCAAUCAAAAGAUGGAAGGCAAAACUUUGAUUGUAAGUGUUCUCGUUAUGAGCCUCUUCAUGGCACAAAUCCAAGUUGACGCUAAGAGCUGCUGUCCUACCAGCACUGCUAGAAAUAUCUAUAAUACUUGCCGCGUUGUGGGAGGUUCCAGGCCAUCAUGUGCAGGCCUCAGUGGCUGCAAAAUCGUUGAUGGGUCAUGUCCUAACGGAUACACUAACGAGAAUCUUGAAAACACAGGUAAAAAAUACAAUAUUAUGCUUUAUUAUGUACGUUGUGUGUCUAGCUUAUUGUCUUAAAAGAUAAAUCAAGAUUUAAUUGUUUCUUUUGUGUUUUGUCUCAAGGUGAUGUUGUUAGUGGAUACUGCAAGGUUGGAUGUGUAUCCUCUGUGUGCGGUGGUUUAACCACUCUCCAAAACUCUGGUAAAGCUAACUCUCAAAACUCCUUAUCAUUACUAUCAUUUGUUUUUAAAAUAAUAAACAAGAGAACAUAUAUAUGAUAUACAUUUUCAAAUUUUGUUUCGAUAACUAGAUGCAAGUGAAAUCGUGAAUGAAGCUGCUGGAAACUGUGCCUUGGCGUGUUCUAAAGUCUGCAACAAAGGUUCGAUGAAUGCAGUUGGAACUGCCUAGACAACCUUAUUCACAAAGAUACGAAGUACAUCAUCUAUGGAGUGUUGUUUUUCAUGUUUUUCAUGUUUUCAUCAAUAAUUGUCGUGUAUGUGAGAAAAAUGUAGAAGGUUAUCGAUCCCUAGAUUGCAUAUGCCUUCUAUUCCCUAUGUUUUCAAUAAUAUGUAAUUGUGUCGUGAUAUUUUACGUUCAACCAUUGAAGUUACUUUGUGCCUAGCUAUAUUACAUAGUAUCAACCAUUUUACCAAACUAUUUGAUUAAUAUUCACAUAAAAAUUCAAUCUAAAAGACGAGACUGAAAAAAACAUGUUAAAUUCAACGAAUUUAAUUAUGUGUUAUAUGAGUUUUUGCAGGCUAUUUAAGUAAAAAUAUAUAAAAAAAGAUGCAUUGUUUAUAUUUUUUUAAACAUAUCUCUGAUAAAUGAUACAAUAUUCACUAAAAAUAUCUGAUUGAAUCAAUAAACAACAGAUGAUGGUUUUGGUUGGUCAUAUAGCUUACGGUUUUGUGUGUAUCAGAUUUAUCCCUACUAUAGUAAAAGAGAAGUACACAAGGGAUUCGGGUCGGUUUUUUUAAAGAAUUCCGAGUUAAAUUUUCAAUCGGAUAGUUGCCAUUAUUAAACUAAGUAAAAAGACAGCUUAUUUUAAGGAAUUAUGGUAAAAAUUACCUAAAAUAGAUCUCAAUCUUUAGAAAAAUAUUUAAAUAUGUAAAUUAUACCACAAUCUUGUGAUUUUAUUGUUAAUCGAUUCAAAAUUUUAUUAAAUAUCAUAACUAUAAAAUCUUAAUAGUUACGAUUUAGUUAUUUAAAUAUAGAAUAUGAAUUUUUGAAAUAUGUAAAAUUUUAAAUAGAAAAUGCAUGAUUCAAAUAAUAAAAUUACAUAUUCGUUAAAAAUAGGUGGUGUAUAAAAAAUCUAAGAGUGAACAUUUAUUUACCUAAAUAUAUGAAGAUUUAAAAAAAAUAUAUAUAACCAAAAAAGAGAUUGCUAUAUAAAAAGUAAAAAAAAACGUAUUUACUAUUUAAAAAUUAAGUGUAUAUAUAGCAAAAUCUAACACCAUUUUAUAUAUGACAAAAAAAACUCUGCUUUACCGAAUAUAUAACACCAUUUUAAUAUAGUUUCUAAAUUAUUUUCGAAUUUAUAAGAAAAAACAUUAAUACAUAAAUGUAACUAUAGAUCCUAAUUAUUAAAAAAAUCCAAAUACUAAUUAAUCAAUUUUUAUUCAACUCUAGGUUAUUUUAAUACACUUUGCCAAAAAUUUGACACCAAAUAUACAUUUUGAAAUAAUAUAUGUUGAUUAUAAAAUAAACAAAAUAAGAACAAAUACUAUAUAACACGUUAAAUAAAAACCCAAAAUCCUUCACCCUGUAGCGCGGGUCCGAUAACAAAAUUCUGAUACACAAAAUAACAAAACCGAUACUUUUCCUCCGCGAUGUAGCGCGGUUCCGGACCUAGUUGUUUUGUAUUAAAUGAGAUAAUAUAUUUGUGAAUUCGUUUUAAUUACUGAGCCUAAUUGUGUGUUUUGUCGAAGAGUUAACUAUAUGUUUUUCCCUGUGAAGCUUAAUUAGUUUCUUAUGAUCAUAUAAAGCAAUGCGUACAUAAUCGCUUUAGUUGUUUUUAUAAAUGCUACAUAGACAACAAUUUAUGAGGCUAAAAAUACAAGUUUAUGAUAUAUUAUUUCAUUUAAUUUACAUUAUAUUUUUUUUAUUUUUAAUUGGCACUAUAUAAAGUGUGUUCUUGACUAUAUUUUCCUCUAUCAUUGUAUUCAUAACAGUCAUUUUAAGUGCUUUUCAUUCUCUUCCUUUGGAAAUUGUUGACUAGGGUCGUUAGAUAGACUUUAUAAUGCCUAUUGAUUAUUUCGUUGGCUUUGAAAGAACUUGAUAAUUGACUGAUUAGUAAAGGGCUUUGAAAGCAUAACCAAAGUCUUUGUAUGAGUCACUUUUGAUAUUAAUAAAUGAUAAACCAAAAAGAGACAAUCUUAAUUGCCCAAAAUAACUUGUGUCAUGCUAGAGAAGAGGACUCUCAUUAUCUCUUGUUCGGAUACAUAAGUGAGAUCUCCCGCCUUGUCGAUAGAUCCCCUGUUUUGAUUCCGCCUCUACAUUACUUAGACAACCAUAUCCAUGACGAUACGAUCUAUGUACAUCAUCUUGGUCUGUUGUUUUUCAGGAUUUAAAUCACUGUCAUGUAUGUGACAAAAAAUGUAGAAGGUUAUCGAUCCUUAGAUUUUAUAUGCCUUCUAUUCCCUAUAAUAUUCUAAUUAGUAAUUGUGUCGUGCUAUAUGCUUUCACUCAACGACCAUUCUAGUCGCUCUGAUCUGCUUUACUAAAUUAUACAAAAUAUUAUCCAACUCUUAAACUCAAUUAUUUUAGAAGAAAUUUGCCACAAUAGUACGUUUUUAAAAAUAAGUAAUAUAUGGGUAUAUAUAUGUCAGUGAAACAAACUUACAACAAAGGUUAAUAAGUUUUUGCAAACAUUAAAACAGUGUGAGAACCUAGUUUGCAAGUCAUUGAAGUGCACUUAUUUUUUCGGUCAAGGGUUUUGAGAUAAUUAAGUGUGUUUAUAUUGGAAUAGUCUUACGAUGGAUAGCUUUCAGGGCAAGGGUCUUUAUGUAAAUUUAAGCAUUUGUUUUUUACGUAAAUUUCAUCAUUUACUGAGUUGAGUGGUUAAGUAUUGUUUCUACGUACUCCAACUUAAGCAUUUGUUUGCCUAGAUUGUAAGUCGCAACUAAUUUUCAAGACAAUGCUUCAUUAAACAUGGAAUUCAUAAUAGUCGAGUUGCAGGAAAUAUGGCGAUACAUGCAGAGAAGAUUAAAAAAAAAUUACAUCCGUAAAGUAUAGACACUGUCACAGUCUUUCCAGGCUCAAAUCAAAGUUGUAUUUUUUUUUUAAAAAGAGAUACCGAUUUAUAUAUAAGAAAACAGAUCAAUAUUACAAUAGUUGAAGGUAGUAAGAACAGAGAAUUCAUGAGAGACAGAUUUCAAAAACCUAAUGUUGAAGCCAAUCAAAGUUGUUGAAAAACAUUUCUGCAAAAUACAUUUGUUAUGUACGAAAAUACAACAAUGAAACUGUUUCAUUUUGCUUAUUACAAAACCCACUGAACAAUCCGAAUUUGGCGUGUUAUUACGAUGGGAAGCUCCAGCAGUAUCCGAGAAAAUACUUUUCUUGUAUAAACUAAACUAAUAUAGUCAUCGAACACGUUUACAUGUAAAAAUUGUCAAGUGGUUUUGAUUAUAAAGCUUUUUUUUUUGUAAACUCAUCAUCUCAAUCAUCUCAUGUUAUUGGUAACUUUUUUUUUUUCAAAUGAUUUAGCAUUUAUUUGGUCCCAACGUGUUAUUCAAAAAAGGAUAGGGUUGGUCCAUGGACAGACAGACUAUAGAGAGCGUGUGAUAAAUUAAGCAUUUAUUUGUAUAUAUAUUAUUCAUUUUUUUUAAAUAAUGUUAAAUUCUAUUCAAAAGAAAUUUUUUACAACUCGUGCAGCGUUUGUUUGAAAUCUAAAACUGAUAAGGCAAUUUGGAAAACAAAGCUUAGUUUGUAUAGUAAAACCAAAACUGAAGCCCGUUGUCGUAGCGCCGGUCUCCAACGAGGCAAAUAGUCGAAUAUAUGUUUCUCAUUUGCAUAUCUAUCCAAGUUAUAAGCAGGGAAGUUGAGUUCGGAUUCUCGCGUGUCUCCUUCCAUUUUGCUCCUUCUAAAUAGUCUAAAUAGCCAUUUGUAGAGAAAUUAGACUUGAAGAUGUUCUUAGCUACUGCUGCCCAAAAUUCACCCCCGUACGCACAAGUAAUCCCGAGAUUCCAGAGCAUUAUCACAGAGAACGCACCUUCCCGAACCACCAUUGUUCCAUUGCAUCAUACGGUCACCUGUAGCGAGCUAACCACGUACAAAGGAAAACUUUGGUGUGGCGUGGCGGAAACACAGUCCCUUAGACCAAAACACCUCAGCUAUAUAUUACAUUCAAAUCUCCAAUACAAAACAAAAAGUUGAUUAAAACAAAAAGAAUCACAAAAGACGUUCUAACAAACUACAAUUGGAUUUUUGCCAUCAUCUAGACAUAACUAGAAGAGAUUUAGUUAUAACUAAUAACUAGAAACUCCUACCAACCACAAUAAAGAUUUCAACUAUCCAUUAAGAUAAGGUUGGUUCACAGUCUAUAGAGAGCAUGUGAUAUCAAACGAAGUUUGUGGUUACCAAACUUAGACGAACUAGUAUAUAAGGGAGCCUUGUUCCAUCACCAAUUCAUCAAUUCAAACUUAUAACUCUCUAAAUAUACAUAUUGCAAUCAAACAACCGAUCAAUCCAAAGAUGGAAGGCAAAACUUUGAUUCUAAGUGUGCUCGUUAUGAGCCUCUUCAUGGCACAAAUCCAAGUUGACGCCAAGGUCUGCUGUCCUACCACCACUGCUCGAAAUGUCUAUAAUUAUUGGGAUAUUAUUUAUCAUAGUAAAUCAUAUCCCACAAUUAUCGUACAUAGACUUAUUUGUUACCUAUUCUGCAAUGUAAAUUAUCUGCAUAUCUUUACUCUUUAGACUAGGUCAUCAAGUCCUUGUAAUAUAUAAGUAUGUAAUGGCCUCUCAAUGAAAUACGCAGAACACAUUCAUUCUCUGUCUGUUUAUGGUAUCAGAGCGGGUCGAAACAGUUUUUUUGAUUUUCUCUUAGUUUCUCUCUGCAACUCGAUCAUGGCUGCAACCAACGAACCAAACACGAACACGAACCCGAUGACCGGCGAGGUGAGACGCAAAAUCUCUCCCUACGACUUGAGUGCUGCGGACAAUCCGGGCGCUGUGAUAUCACUACCUUUGUUGAAAGGACCGAAUUAUGAAGAAUGGGCUUGUGGAUUGAAGACAGCUCUUUGCUCACGAAAGAAGUUUGGAUUUCUCGAUGGCUCCAUUGCUCGUCCUGCUGAUGGAUCUCCUGAUCUGGAAGAUUGGCUAACCAUUCAAGCCUUGCUCGUAUCAUGGAUUCGCAUGACAAUUGAUCCUUUGCUGCGGUCCAACGUUUCUCAUCGUGAUGUGGCUAAGGACUUGUGGGAUCACUUGAAGAAACGAUUUUCGGUGACUAAUGGACCACGGAUUCAGCAAUUGAAGGCAGAGCUCGCCUGUUGCAAGCAAAGAGGUCUCGCCAUUGACGCGUAUUACGGAAAAUUGAAUCGCAUUUGGGAUAACAUGGCGCAUCACAGACCUUUGCGUGUUUGUAAAUGCGGUAAGUGUGAGUGUAAUCUCACUGUGCUUCAAGAACAAGAUCGUGAGGAGGAUAAGGUUCAUGAUUUUUUGGCUGGUCUUGAUGAUGCAUUCAAGACAGUUCGAUCCAGCCUCGUGUCUCGUCUACCCAUUCCGUCCAUGGAGGAGGUGUAUAAUGUUGUUCGUCAAGAGGAGGAUUUGAAGACAAAUGUCAAACAAAGUGAAGAAGUUGCUGAAGUCACAGCAUAUGCGGUACAACAACGACAUCGCACCAACCCCUCUGCUCGUUCUGAUGACGCUCAACCAGUGUGCAAGCACUGCAGUCGAACUGGUCACUCCUCCGAUAGCUGCUUUGCGGUUGUCGGGUAUCCGGAGUGGUGGGGUGAUCGUCCAAGGAGCAGAACGGUUCAAGGUCGUGGACGUGGACAAUCUGCUGGACGUGGUCGUGCCUAUGCAAACGUAGUUCAUGUUCCUAAUGUGACGCCUCAGGAACAUGCAAAUUAUGUGAUCACGGACAAAGAUCGUGAUGGAGUGACUGGUUUAAAUGAGCUUGAGUGGCAGAACCUGAAGAAGCUUUUAAAUGGUGGUGCAAGCACAAGUCAUGAAAAGCUUUCUGGUAAGUGUUUUUCUCCUUCUUGGAUAUUAGAUACAGGAGCUUCACAUCAUCUAACAAGUAAUUACAAAACUCUUACCAAUGUAAGAGAAAUGGAACCUGUAUUGGUGAUUUUAGCGGAUGGUCGUGAACGCAUAUCAUGUCAAGAGGGGACUGUUGUAUUGGGUAGCAAUCUGGUCUUGAAAUCAGUGUUUUUUGUGGAAGAGUUGCAAAGUGAUCUUAUUUCAGUGGGGCAGUUAUUGGAUGAGAAUAAUUGUAUUGUACAAUUAGCUGAUCAGUUCCUUGUGAUUCAGGACCGCGCUUCGCGGACGAUGAUUGGAGCUGGUAAACGAGACAAUGGAACCUACCGUUUUUGCAGAAUGGAGUCGGUAGCGUUAGUCACAACAAAGGAGAUGAAGGCUUAUGAGUUGUGGCAUAAUAGGCUUGGACAUCCAUCUGCGAGAGUAGUUGGUUCACUUCCGCAAGUGUCUGUUUCUGUUGAUUCUGAUUCUUUCAAUAAAGCGUGUGAUGUAUGUUUCCGCGCUAAGAAAACAAGAUCGUGUUUUCCUACUAGUGAUAAUAAAACAACAUCCGUUUUUGAGCUUAUACAUUGCGAUCUUUGGGGUCCGUAUCGAACUCCGUCUUCUUCUGGUGCUCGUUAUUUUCUAACGGUCGUUGAUGAUUUCUCCCGUAGUGUAUGGAUUACUCUUCAACAUGACAAAACUGAGACAUCAUCUAAUCUAAAAAAUCUGAUUGCAAUGGCUGAGAGACAAUUUUCGAAGAAAGUUAAACGCAUCAGAAGUGAUAAUGGGACUGAGUUCACAUGUUUGGGAGCAUUCUUUCGCAGUCAGGGAAUUAUUCAUGAGACAUCUUGUGUAGCAACACCACAACAGAACGCCCGUGUUGAGAGAAAGCAUCGACAUAUUCUCAACGUAGCUCGCGCUUUACGGUUUCAGUCGCAUUUGCCUAUAACCUUCUGGGGAGAAUGUAUUCUCACAGCUGGAUAUUUGAUCAACCGUACUCCGAAUUCAGUGCUUAAUGGGGUCACGCCAUAUGAGAAGUUACAUGGUACUGCUCCAAGUUUUGAUCAUUUAAAGGUGUUUGGGAGUCUUUGUUAUGCGUACAAUCAAACGCAUAAUGGAGAUAAAUUUGAGUCUCGGAGUCGUAAGUGCAUUUUUGUGGGAUAUCCAUACGGGAAGAAGGCAUGGCGACUCUAUGAUCUUGAUACAAAUGUUUUUUUUUGUAUCCAGGGAUGUUCGAUUUUGUGAAACAGAGUUUCCUUAUGAUGAUGCUGCAAUUGAUCGUGGUUCAGUCGAUCCCAACAGAGAAGAAGGAGAGGCAUUAUGGGCUCCUUUCUCCUCUAGCCCAGCUGAAGAUGUUGAUAUACGGCCUUUAUCAUCUCCUACUUCUUCUCUCGGCCCAACACAGAUAGAAAGCCCAUUAACAUCGUCCUCCUCUGCUCUCAAUCCAGUGCUCGACGAUCCUCUUCCGUCUCCCUCACCUUCGAUUACUCCACCUACAUCACCGGUUUCUGCUCCGGUGGUCUCACCUGUCACCUCUCCAUCUUCGUCAGAUGCUGAGGACGAGAACGACCAACUACCAGAGGCGGUUCCUCUUCGCCGUGGUAAUCGACCUCGACAGCCACCAAUCAAAUUCCGUGACUAUCAAACUAAUACAGCUCAGAUAAGGAUGUUGGGUACGUCAAAAUCUUUGUAUCCAAUUCAAAAUUAUGUGAGUUGUGCACGUUUUUCAUCCACUCAUCGUGCCUAUUUGGUGGCCAUUACGGAUGUCUUUGAGCCAAAGACAUAUAAUCAAGCAGUUAAGAGCAAAGUUUGGACAACUGCUAUGGAUUCUGAGGUUCGUGCUUUGGAGGAAAAUCAGACAUGGACGCUUGAGGAUCUCCCUCCUGGCAAGAAAGCAAUAGGAUCGAAAUGGGUUUACAAAGUAAAACACAAUGCAGAUGGGACUGUUGAACGCUACAAAGCGCGUUUGGUAGCUCUUGGUAAUAAACAAAUCGAAGGAGUUGAUUAUGGAGACACGUUUGCACCGGUAGCUCGGAUGCAAACUGUGCGUAUGUUUCUUGAAGUUGCUGCGGGUAACGCUUGGCCAGUCCAUCAGAUGGAUGUCCACAAUGCGUUCCUACACGGGGAUCUCUCUGAGGAGGUCUACAUGAAGCCUCCCCCAGGUUAUUUUACUAAUGGUGAAAAGCUGGUUUGUCGACUUCGGAAGUCUCUCUAUGGUCUUAAACAAGCACCUCGUUGUUGGUUUGAAAAGUUGACAACUGCUCUUCGUGACUAUGGCUUUCUUCAGUCUCUUUCGGAUUACUCCCUCUUUGUUUUUGACAAAGGAGGGAUACGGAUUAACAUAUUGAUCUAUGUUGACGAUAUGAUUUUGUCUAGUAACUCGACUGAGGCGCUUUCUGGUUUCAAAAGCUAUUUGGCGUCGUGUUUUAAAAUGAAAGAUUUAGGCGCUCUUAAGUAUUUUUUGGGCAUCGAAGUCUCGAGAAGUUCACAAGGUUUCUAUUUAAGUCAGCGGAAAUAUGCUCUUGAAAUAGUUGCUGAUGCUGGAUUGCUAGGUUGCAAACCAGACGCCUUUCCUCUAGAACAGCACAACAAGCUUGCGUUGUCUACUUCUUCUCUCUUACCCGAACCGGAGCAGUAUCGUCGUCUGCUAGGUCGUCUCCUAUACUUAGCUGCUACACGGCCGGAUCUCACUUUCAGUGUUCAGUUUCUCGCUCAAUUUAUGAAAGAACCACGCGAGGAUCACUGGGAAGCUGCGCUUCGUGUUGUUCGCUACAUAAAGGGAAAUCCAGGCCAAGGUAUUUUGUUGAGCGCUAAGAGAGAUUUUCAGAUUACAGGCUGGUGUGACUCUGAUUAUUCGACUUGUCCCCUUACAAGAAGGUCAGUUUCUGGUUAUUUUGUUCAAGUGGGCACAUCACCAAUAUCAUGGAAGACGAAGAAACAGAAAACGGUUAGUAUGUCCUCUGCUGAAGCUGAAUAUCGUGCUAUGGCUUUUAUCACAAAGGAACUCAUUUGGCUAAAGAGAGUUCUGUCUGAUCUUGGUGAAACUCACUCUCAACCAAUGCGUCUCUAUUGUGAUAGCAAGUCUGCAAUUCACAUUGCCACGAACCCGGUCUUUCAUGAACGUACGAAGCAUAUCGAGAAUGACUGUCACUUUGUACGUGAUGAGAUCAAAUCUGGUAAUCUUCAUCUACUUCAUGUUCAAAGCAACUCUCAACUAGCGGAUAUUUUCACAAAGCCACUUGGUCGUCAUAGCUUUGAAGAUUUUUGCUCCAAACUGGGCAUUUUGAAUCUCCAUGCUCCAGUUUGAGGGGGGGUAUUGGGAUAUUAUUUAUCAUAGUAAAUCAUAUCCCACAAUUAUCGUACAUAGACUUAUUUGUUACCUAUUCUGCAAUGUAAAUUAUCUGCAUAUCUUUACUCUUUAGACUAGGUCAUCAAGUCCUUGUAAUAUAUAAGUAUGUAAUGGCCUCUCAAUGAAAUACGCAGAACACAUUCAUUCUCUGUCUGUUUAAUAAUACUUGCCGCCUUCCCGGAGCACCCAUGUCAGUAUGUGCUGGCCUCAGUGGCUGCAAAAUCGUUGAUGGGUCAUGUCCUAACGGAUAUCCUAACGAGAAUCUUGAAAACACAGGUAAAAAAAAAACAAUAUUAUGCUUUAGUAUGUACGUUGUGUGUCUAGCUUAUUGUCUUAAAAGAUAAAUCAAGAUUUAAUUGUUUCUUUUGUGUUUUGUCUCAAGGUGAUGUUGUUAGUGAAUACUGCAAGGUUGGAUGUGUAUCCUCUGUGUGCGGUGCUUUAUCCACUCUCCAGAACUCUGGUAAAACAACUCUCGAAACUCUUUUAUCAUUACUAUCAUUUGUUUUAAAAAUAAUAAACAAGAGAACAUAUAUAUGAUACAUUUCAAAUUUUGUUUCGAUAACUAGAUGCAAGUGAAAUCGUGAAUGAAGCUGCUGGAAACUGCGCCUUGGCGUGUUCUAAAGUCUGCACCAAGGGUUCGAUGAAUGCAGUUGGAACCGCCUAGACAACCUUAUUCACAAAGAUACGAAGUACAUCAUCUAUGGAGUGUUGUUUUUUCAUGUUUUCAUCAAUAAUUGUCAGUGUAUGUGACAAAAAUAUAGAAGGUUAUCGAUCCUUAGAUUGCAUAUGCCUUCUAUUACCUAUCUUUUCAAUAAUAUGUAAUUGUGUCGUGAUAUUUUUCGUUCAACCAAUAAAGUUGCUUUUUGCUUAGCUAUAUUACAUAGUAUCAACCAUUUUACCAAACUAUUUGAUUAAUAUCACAUAAAACUAAAUUUAAAAGACGUGACUGAAAAAACAUGUAAAAUUUCAAAAAUGAUGCUUUCGAUGUUGGUCAUAUAGCUUACGGUUUUGUGUGGAUCAGAUUUAUUGUUUUGUAUUAAAGGAGAUAAUAUAUUUGUGAGUUCGUUUCAAUUACUGAGCCUAAUUGUUUGUUUUGUCGAAGCGUUAGCUAUUGUUUUCCCUAAGCUUGAUUAGUUUUUGUAAGAUCAUAUAAAGCAAUGCGUACAUAAUUACUUUAGUUGUUUUUAUAAUGCUACAUAGACAACAAUUUAUGAGGCUAAAAACACAAAUUCAUUAUAAUCUACCUUCAAUUUUGAUGUUUUUUUUUUGGCACUAUAAAGUGUGUUAUCAGUCAUCUUCGAAUUUAGCUCGUUCUUGACUAUAUUUUCCUCGAUCAUUAUCUUCAGAAUAGUCACUUUGCUUAGAGAUUUUUGAUACUAUGUCAAUCUUUGAACUUUUUUUCUUGGUAAUGAUACUGUUCCAAUACAAUACAAACUAAAUGUGAGAAGGAAAAUAAAAUAAGCAUAAAAUUGUCAAGCAGUUAGUUUAAAGCUUAUGUAAUUAGCACUUUCAUCAUCUCAAUGAUCUUCAUGUUAUUGAUAAUCACAUGCAGAAAUUUGUUUAGAAUUGUUAGCACACCACUCAAAUUAUUAGGCAACAAGCAUUUAUUUGGUUCCAACGUAUAUUAUUUAAAUCUCCAAUACAAAACAAAAAGAGCUGCUGCGGUCUUCUUCUUUUUGGUCGGAAAGUGAGACCACAACAAGGGGAUCUUGGAUGUGGAAAAAGUUGCUCAAUUAUAGAACGCAUGCUAAAGCGUUUCACAAAAUGGUAGUUGGAGAUGGUGCUCACACUUCUUUCUGGUAUGAUCACUGGUCUUCUCUGGGCUGUUUCCAUGAUUUGCUUGGGGAUAGAGGAUUUAUUGCUCUCGGUAUUCCUUCCAACGCCACAGUUGCUAUGGUUUUACAAACUCAUACUCGGCGCUCUCACCGAACCGCCUUGUUGAAUCAGAUUGAGCUGGAAGUCGCAAUGCUCCGGGAUCGUGGCCAAGUUUAUUGUCAAGACAAUGCUUUAUGGCGAGCUUCGGAUAACAAGUAUGUGCCUUGGUUCUCCACUGCUGAGACCUGGCAGCAGAUUCGGCGUGUGGGUUUACAAGUGAGUUGGUACAGGGGCAUUUGGUUCUCCAACUCUAUACCGAAAUGUUCUUUCAUCCUUUGGUUAACAGCUCGCAAUAGGCUCACCACCGGGGAUCGCAUGCAGGCUUGGAACAGAGGUGUUAACCCUGCUUGUGUGCUCUGUCGGAAACCUUUGGAGACACUUCCGCAUCUAUUCUUUGGUUGCCCCUACUCUUCACGGAUAUAGCAUGCUCUAACUCACAAAUUGUUGAUGCGGCACUAUUCUAUUUCAUAUACACAAGUCAUCCAUCUGCUCUCGGGUUCUUGUUUUCAAGGUACUACCCGCUACCUCUUGCGUCUUGUCUUCCAAGCAACGGUCCACACACUUUGGAUGGAGCGCAACAGACGUCGACAUGGCGACACACCAAGCACCACUGAUCAGCUCACCCGUUUCUUAGACCGUUUGAUACGUAAUAAACUCCUUUCAAUGCAAGCAACCACAACAAAGUUUGGUGAUGGACUUCAGCUUUGGGUAGCGGGUAGCUAAUCCCCUCCAAAAAUUUCAAAACUUUUAAUGUUUUUUAAAUUAAGUUUUUGAUUUAAGGAUGCAUUUAUUGUAAAAAGGACACUUUUUUGUUUUGAAUAUAUUUUCACAUUCAUGCAAAAAAAAAAAAAACAAAAAGAAACACAAAACACGUUUGUAACAAACUAUUUGGAUUUUUGUGCCAUCAGCUAGACAGUAACUAGAAGAGAUUUGAUUAUUAACUUAUAACCACAAGAGUCAAUAGAGUUGGUUAAAAAAUAAAUUAAGAAACACAAACACACGUUGUAACAAACUACUCAUACAUUUUCUUAAUUCUUAAUUCAAAAUAUUUCCACGAGAAGUGCUACAAACUUAAUAGACAUAUAUAACACUUAUAAUAUAAAUUCAAACGAAAAUAAUAGUGAAUCCCUAUUAAGUAUCCUAAUUAAUUUAAAGCGUUAAUCAAAAGAAAGUAAAAAUGAACAAGAAGAUUUCAUCAAUCCAUCAAGAUAAGGUUUGGUCCACGUCGCAUGUACAGACAGAGUCUAUAGAGAAAAUGUGAUAAACGUAUCAUAUGAAUUCUGUGGUUGCUAAUCAUAGACCAACUAGUAUUUAAGCUUAUAACUCCCCACAUAUACAUUUUGCAUUCAAACAACUGAUCAAUCGAAAGAUGGAAGGCAAAACUGUGAUUUUAAGUGUGCUCAUAGUGAGUCUUGUCAUGGCACAGAUUCAAGUUGAAGGAAAGAGUUGUUGCCCUAACACGAGUGCUAGAAGCUGCUACAAUUUAUGCAUUAUUGCUGAAGCAGGUAGGCAAAUUUCUUGUUAAAUUUAAUUAGUGCCCCAUAUAACUUUUAAAUUUAACCAGUGCCCCAUAUAUAUUUUUAGUCCUAAAUCCACCCUCCAUCUGUACACAAAUCUGUGGAUGCAAAUUUGUAUCGGGAAAAUGUCCUCCAGGAUAUCCACAUGACAUUCUCGAAAACUCUGGUAAUUUAAUUGCAUCUUUUAUUUCUUUGUUAUUUCAUUAUGUUAUAUGUUUUACAAGUUGGACCAAGAUUUUGAUGCAACUUCUAAGAAUUGUUUUAUUAUUUUUUAUUUAAGGUGAUGCUGUCAAUGAAUACUGCAAAUUAGGUUGUGCAUCCUCUGUGUGUGGUGCCUUAACCACUCUCCAGAACUCCGGUAACACAAAAACUCAUUAUUAAUUAUCAAUAUUAUGAUUAGAUUUUUAGAAAAGGAGAAAAACGUAUUAACUAAAAAUAUUGUUUCGAUGAAUUAGAUGCAAGUGAAAUUGUGAAUGGAGCAGCUGUACAAUGCACCAAGGCAUGUUCUGAGUUCUGUACCAAGGGCUCAUCCAAUGCAAUUGAAACUGCUUAAGAAGCAUAUAUCCACGAUCUAUGUUUUCAAUAAUUGUCGUUGUAUAUGACAAAAAAAUGCUAGAAUCUUGAGUAAGCUUCUACUAUUUCCAAGUUUUCUAUGUGACAUAGAAAAAAGUCAUUGAUCCCUAGAUUGUGUACCCCUUCUACUUGCUAUUGUUUAAUAUAAAGAAUAAUAAUUAUGUCUUUAUCGACUAUAAUUAAAACAAACUCUCGCUUUAGCUUAAUUUUCUAACAAUCACUUCAUAUCUUAAAAACAUCAAAUGCCAACUUAGCAAAACUGUCAAGACUUACAAAUCUCGAAUUAAAGAUAUAUAUAAGCAUACGACACCUUGAAUGAACCAUUAAGAAUGCAAUCGAUAGGUUGAAGUAAUGAAAAACUUUAUAGUAUAUCAUUUUGUCAUCAUGAUUACUAGAGUAAUAACUAAUAACCCAAUAGAUUUUGACAACAAGGGAACUGUGAAAUUAUUGUUUUUGAACUUGAAAAUAAAAAUGUAAAGUAAACAGAUAAUUGAACUUAUAAAUUAAAACAUUGGGUAGCAGGGUAUUUCAACGAAUCAAUGACUAACAAAUAAAAACAAUAAAGGAAGGCAAAAAUUCAGGCAAGACGACAUGUUCUUAAACAUGAACAUAAAUUCAGAUUAAUUCUCUGUUAAGACAUUAGUCAUUAAAUUCAACUAUUUAAUUACUAAACUCUCAUUUAUAAUUUUCUAGUCAAAUUCUCUUCAUCAAACAAGUUUAUUUGGUUCACAAGACAUUCUAAAAUUAACUCUCGCAGGUUAGAAUUACAAUGCUCAAUUAACAUUCAUUCAAGCAUUUCAUCGAACAUCUCUAAACCAUAUAAAAGCCAACCAUGUUUAUCGUCGGAUAUGGUUGUCAGAAACGGCUAUGUUUUUCUAUAGAGCAACUGAGAUCAUGAACGUAUAAAACAUCAGUAAAAGUGAUAAGAUUUGAAAUUGUUAACUCCCAAGACGGAAUUUCCGUGAGAUUUACUAACAAUGAAAUAUUCUUUGACAUAUUAUGAUAUGAUAAAAGCUCUAACAUAGUUUCGAACACAUUGACAUGUAAGCUCUUGUCGUAAACGAAAGUCAAAAUAUAAACUUAUUUUUUUGGUAAUACAAAUAUAUUGUUCCAUACAAUACAAACUAAAAGUGACAUGGAAAAUAAAGUGGUUAGUUUAAAGCUUAUGUAAUUAGCACUUUGAUCAUCUCAAUGAUCUUGAUCAUGUGAUCAUGUGAUUGGUAAUCACAUGCAGAAAUUUGUUUCAAAUUUCUAGCACACCACUCAAAUUAUUAGGCAACAACCAUUUAUUUGGUCCCAACAUAUGUUAUUCAAAUCUCCAAUACAAAACAAAAGAGAACAAAAGGAAACACAAAACACGCUGGUAACAAACUAUUUGGAUUUUUGUAUCAUAUUUUAAUUUGCCAUCAGUCUAGACAAUAACUAGAAGAGUUUUGGCUAUAACUUAUAAACCACAAGAGUUAAGAAUUGGUUAAAAAAAUAAAUUAAGUACCACAAAACACGUUGUAACAAACUACUAUGUUCUUAUCUUUCCCUCUUCAAACUAAUCAUACUCUUCUUAAUUUUUAAUUCUUAAUUCAAUAUAUUUACACGAGAAGUGCUACGAACUUAAUAGACAUAUAUAACACUUAUAAUAUAAAUUCAAACGCAAAUAAUAGUGAAUCCCCUAUUAAUUAUCCUAAUUAAUUUAAAGCGUUAAUCAAAAGAAAGUAAAAAUGAACAAGAAGAUUUCAUCAAUCCAUCAAGAUAAGGUUUGGUCCACGUCGCAUGUACAGACAGAGUCUAUAGAGAAAAUGUGAUAAACAUAUCAUAUGAAGUGUGUGGUUGCUAAUCACAGACCAACUUGUAUUUAACCGAGCCUUGUUUCAUCAGUACCAUUUCAUCAAUACAACCUUAUAUAACUCCCCACAUAUACAUUUUGCAUUUAAACAACUGAUCAACAGAAAGAUGGAAGGCAAAACUAUGAUUUUAGGUUUGCUCAUAGUGAGUCUUGUCAUGGCACAGAUACAAGUCGAAGCAAAGAGUUGUUGUCCGAACACGACUGCUAGAAAUUGUUACAAUGUAUGCCGUUUACCUGGAACUCCUAGGCCAACUUGUGCAAGCCUCUGCGGAUGCAAAAUUGUCGAGGGGCCAACAUGUCCUCCAGGACCACGUGACAUUCUCGAAAACUCUGGUAGUUUAGUUUAAUUUUUAUUUCUUUGUUCUUUCAUUAUGUUAUAUCUUUUACAGGUUGGACCAAGAUUUUGAUGCAUGUGUUCAAAAACUGUUUUAUGUUUUUGUAUUUAAGGUGAUGCUUUUAACGAAUACUGCAAGUUGGGUUGUGCAUCAUCUGUGUGUGGUGCCUUAACCACUCUCCAGAAUUCCGGUAAUGCAAAAACUUAUUAAUAUUACUAUUAAAUUUAUAGAAAAAGAGAAAAACAUAUUAAUUCUAAUAUUGUGUGUGGGUGAUUUAGAUGCAAAUGAAGUUGUGAAUGGAGCAGCUGUACAAUGCACCAAGGCAUGUUCUGAGUUAUGUACCAAGGGCUCAUCCAAUGCAGUUGAAACUGUAUAAGAAGCACAUCCAUGAUCUAUGUGUUGUUGUUUUCCCAGUUUUCAAUAAUUUUCGUGUAAGUGACCAAAAAAUGCUAGACACUUGAGCUAGCCUUCUAAAUAAAGAAUAAUAAUGUGACCUUACAUAUAAUAAAAACAAACUCUCACUUUAACUUUAUUUUCUUACAAUCACUUCAUAUCUUGACAAGAUAAAAUGACAACUUAGCAAAACUGUCAAGACAUACAAAUCUCAAAUUAUAUACCUACUAGAAAGUUGCCCACGCGAUGCGUGGGUUAUACAUGAAAUGUUAAUUAAAAAUUAUAUUAAGUUAUAUGUAGUGUAUAAGUGUUAAUAUAUGUUUUGAAAAUAAUUUUAAAACAAAAUAAUAUGUUUAUAUUCAUUAUGUGUAUUACAAAAUAAUAUUAAUUUUUAUGUUUAAAACAAAAUAAUUAACGCACAAACAAAAUUGAACGCGAUUGCAAAAUUAGUAUAAAACAUAUUUUGUGUACAUUGUAAACAUUAAAAAUAAACGAAAAGUAUAUUUGGAAAAUAUAGAACUGAAUGAGAUCUAAACAAAGUAAUACAAAAUUAGCACAUACAAAAUUAUGAGCAUUUGUUACUCACCUUAUAUUUUAUCAUAACCUAAAAGUAACUUAAAUUUUAAAAAUGAUCAAGUUAAACUUUUCAAAAUAUCAAAUUAAAAGAUUUCAUUUGAAACAUAUGAUAUAUUGUUUUCAACUUUAUUUAGAAAAUAUUUUUCAAUUUAGAUUAUAAAAGCAUUUAAACUAUAGUUAUGUAAAAACUAAAAAGAGAGAUCAUAAGCCAAAUAAACAGAAGAAGAUUACAUGAGAAGAAGAACUUUGAUAUUUUUAUAUUCUAUUUGAUUGUAAAUGAAGCUGACAUAGGAGGUAGAUGAGAAUAUAUAUAUAUAUAUAUAUAUAUAUAUAUAUAUAGACUUUUUAAUGUAGCAUUAGUUUAGUUUUAAAAUUACUACUAAAUUUUUUUAAAACAAAUAUGCAUGAAGAUUUACAUUACUAUAAAAGCUAAAUAAAUGAAUCCAAACUAAAAUAGCAUAACAUGUUUACAUCAAAAUUAACAGAGAAGAUGAACAACGACAUAUAUGUACAUGAUGGCGAAUUUUUAGGUUUUUGCCCUUUUCAUUUGAUAAAAAUAAAAUUUUAACUCUGCUUACUAUUAUUAUUUUAUUUAUAAAUAUAAAUUACGAAAUAGAAAGAANNNNNNNNNNNNNNNNNNNNNNNNNNNNNNNNNNNNNNNNNNNNNNNNNNNNNNNNNNNNNNNNNNNNNNNNNNNNNNNNNNNNNNNNNNNNNNNNNNNNGUUACUAAGAGUGUAGAGUGGGGUAUGAUAUUAUUGUGUAAUUAAUACGUUAAUAAUUAUCAUAAUUGUCAUAAUUAAUAUGUUAUUACUUAUCAUAAUUUAAUUAAUGAAUUAAAUUAAAUAUAACUUUCAUAAAAUGUAUGAUCUUUAAAAGAAAAAAUUUAGGUACCAAUUUUUUUGUAAGCAAGUAUAUAUAUUUUUAACACUUUGACUGCAAAUUUUAAAUAAACUAAAUAUUAUAAUUUUUAUAUAAUAGUCUAUUUGAUCUCAAAAACUAAAUAUAAUGACAGAUAUAUUAAAAUGAAUUACAAAAAAUAUUUGAGAUUAAAAAAUAAGAAAACAUUAUUUGAUAAAUGUUUUAAAUCGAAUUUUUUAUUUAUAUAGCAAUCAAAACUGAUAUAUUACAUAUGUGUUGUAUCAAAUUUUCUUGAUUCAUAAAUAUGAAAAUAAAAGUAUAAUAUAAGUAUUUUCGUGAUUGUGCAAGCUAAUUCUAAUUUAUUGUGUGUUGAAUAAAAUUGAGUAGAAAAAUAUAGCUAAUGCAAAUUUAUAUUAUUUCAGUUUUUAUAUUAAAGUGUGAGUUAAGAAUUAUUUGAAUAAGAAAGAGGUAGUAAUAUAUUAUUUUGGAAAUUGUGUUACAAUAAAAUAUUUAAUUAGAUAUUUCAUAAUCAAAAAAGAAAAUGCAUAUAUAAAAAUGGAUCCUUAUAACUUAAUUCUCUUGUUGUACGAUGAUUGGAACUAAUAUAAGAUACUAUGUUAGAUUUGUAUCAUACUUUCUAAAGAUAUUUAUAUCAAAUUCUUAAAAUGAUUAUUUCAUUGAUUUUUUAUGUCACAUAAGAACAUAAAAAUAGAAAAAAAAAAUAAAGAUACAUGAAUAUAAUGGAAGAGAGGGAGUGAAUGUAUUUAUAUGUUGAUAAUCAAAAAUAGAAAAUAGAGAUGAAUUUUCAAGAAAAAAAAAAGAUAAAUUAUAAUAAUGUAAGAUGUAUAUCAAUAUAUCAUAUAGUCUCUAAAAUUUUCUACAGUUGAAAUUUUAUAAUAAUAUUUUUUUAAAAAAACUCAUACAACAAAAAUAAACAAAGCAAAAAAAUUUCAUAAAGAAGCGAAGGAGAGAAUGAGAGAAUGAUAUAAUGAGACAAUGAGAGAAUGAUAUAAUGAGAAAAUGAGUAUAUAUAGGAAGAUAAGUGAUGGGAGUUACAAUUUCAUAAAAAAAUUAUGGGAGUCAAUUAUAAUUGAUUGUGUAUUGAAAAAAUUGAAUGUAAAAUAUAGUUAAUGCAAAUUUAUGUUAUUUCAGUUUUUAUAUUAAAGUGUGAGUUUAAUAUAUAUGAUUAAAUGUGUUUUGUGGUUUCUUUGUUUUUUUCAGUUUUAUAUUAAAGUGUGAAUCAAAUAUAUAAUAUUUUUAAAAGUUACAUGCCAAGUGGACCAAUAAGAAGAUGGUAAAAUCUUAUAUAUAUAUAUAUAUGAUUUGUGAAUAAUAUGAUAGUUAUUCUUUGAUUUAAAUUCAUUAUAUUAUUUUCUCAACUGUUUGAUAAUAGAAAAUUAAAUAAAUUUUGCUUGAUAAUCUCUUUAAUUCUUCUCUUAUAAAUUAAAUUUUAAAAAUUAGAAAUUAUGUUAUAAAUAAUUUAUUACCCAUAUUAAUAACUUUAAAAAUGUAUCUUUAAAGGAGUAGGAAAAAAAAGUUUAAAAAUGUAUCUUUAAAGGAGUAGGAAAAAAAAGUCAUAGCAAUUUUCUUUGAAUAAAAAAUUAUAACAAUUCCAUUUUAUGUUUAGCUUAUAUGAUAUUUAAUUUAAUUAGAAACUAAAAUUAGGAAAAACAUAUUUUUGCAACCAUGACACUUUUUAAAAAGCAAAGCAUACAUAUAACAUAUAACUUACAACACAAUAUCAUAAAAAAAAAUUUUAAAUGUUAGAUUAUAAAUUAAUAAAAAUGACACAUGUCAGAAGCAUAGAGCGACACAUGUCGCGUUGUGAGGCAAAGUUAAGAAGAAACCUUGUCUUAUUAUAUAAGAUUAUAAGCAUAUGACACCUUGUAUGAACCAUUCAGAAUGCAAUCGAUAGGUUGAAGUAAUGCAAUACUUUAUAGUCUAUCAUUUUGUCAUGGAUGAUUGCUAGCGUAAUAACUCAAUAGAUUUUAACCACAAGGAAACGGUGAAAUUCUUGGUAGUAUAAUUAUGGGCCAAAUCCACAAAGGACCGAAUGAUUACACCAAAUACUUAUAAGAGUUAGCAACUUAGCAAAGAUAAAAGUGAAUACAACUAGAUUUUCACCCACGAUAUACCGCGGGACGAUAUUUUAAAACGUUUUUUUAUUAAGUUUGUACUACAGGCUCGCAAAAAAAAAUUGUACUACUAUAUUUGAUUGUUAAUUCUAAGAUUUAACGCGUGGAAUAUUGCAUGAUAAUUUGGUUUUUAUAUAAUGGUAAUUUGAUUAAAUUAAAUAAGUAAGUCUAAUAUUCAAAAUAAUAAAAUGAUGUUGGCAUAACAUCUUUCGUUUAAAUAGUCAAAUUUCAGAUUAAAAUAUUUUAUGAGUUUUACUAUAGUAGAAAACCGUAAAAAAUCUAUAAUCAUAGUUAUGUAAACUAUAACCCGCUCCAUAACAUGUCCCGUGCUAGAAAAUUAUCAAUAAUACUUUAGUACAUACAUUUUUGUAUCGUUUGAGUAAUAUACGUCCUUUUUCAAAAAUUUAAACUGCAACAUAUGCAAAAUAAAAAACAGAUCAAAAUUACAAUAGUUGAAGCUAGUUACAGCAGAGAAUACAUGAGAGACAAAUUUCAAAAACCUAAUGUGGCUUUUCAAAAUUGUUGAAAUACAUUUUUGCAAAACUCAUUGACACACUGAACAAUCCGAAAUUAGCUUGUCAUACGAUGAAACAGUUUCAUUGUUGUAUUUUCUUACAAAAUGAAACAGUUUCGUUGUUGUAUUUUCGUAAAACAAUGAAACUGUUUCAUUUUGCUAUUACAAAACCCACUCAACAAUCCGAAAUUGGCGUAUUAUUACGAUGGGAAGCUCUAGUAUCCGAGAAUAUAAUUCUCUUGAAUAAAGUAAACUAAAAAGAUAAGUUUAGUUUUCUUGCAUAAUAUAGUCAUCGAACACGUUUACAUGUAAAAAUUGUCAAGUGGUUUUGACUUUAUAGCUUUUUUUGUAAACUCAUCAGAUCUCAACCAUCUCAUGUUAUUGGUAACUCUUUUAAUUCAAAUGAUUUAGCAUACCACUCAAAUUAGUAUUUAUUUGGUCCCGACGUAUGAUUCAAAUAUCCAAUAGUACAAAACAAAAAGUUGAUUAUAAGCCAAAAAGAAACACCAAACACGUUGUAACAAACUAUUUGGAUUUAUCUCAUAUUUUUAAUCAGCCAUCAAUCAUCUAGUCGACAUAACUAGAAGAGAUUUGAUAGAAGCUCGUACAACCACAAAACCGUUGGUUAUUCAAAAUAUUUUGUACUCUUUCUUUAUUCAUAACUCAAAAUAUUUACACGAGAACUGAUACGAAGUUUAUAGACAUAAUACUUAUACUAUAAACUCUCAUAUAUACGUAUAUAGUUAUAAACCAAAUUAAUAUAAUUAAGAUGGUACAUAAUAAUAACACGAUUAGUAAGAACAUACAGAAUAUAACCAGCAAAACUCGUAAAUAAUUAAUAGUGAAUCCCUAUUAAGCAACACAGGUUAAGCUUUAACCGAAUCAGAAGAAUGAAAAAAAAAAAAAGAAUAAAAAGAAGAUUUCAACUAUCCCAUUAAGAUAAGGUUGGUCCAUGCAGCUUGUAUAGUCAGUCUAUCGAGCGAACAUGUGAUACCCAUCAUAGACAACCUAGUAUUUAAGGAACCCUUGUUUCAUCACAAAUUCAUCAAUUCAAGCUUAUAUACAUUUUGCAAUCAAACAACUGAUCAAUCGAAAGAUGGAAGGCAAAACUUUGAUUCUAAGUGUUCUCCUAAUGAGCCUUCUCAUGGCACAAAUCCAAGUUGACGCCAAGAGCUGUUGUCCGACCACCACUGCUAGAAAUGUCUAUAAUACUUGCCGUUUAGCCGGAUUAUCCAGAGCAGUAUGUGCAAACCGCAGUGGCUGCAGACUCGUUAAUGGGUCAUGUCCCAACGGAUAUCCUAAAGAGAAUCUUGAAAACACAGGUAAAUCAAAACAUAAUGUGUUUUAUUACGUACGUUGUUUGUCUUACAGGAAAAAUCAAGAUUAAUGGUUUCUUAUAUGUUUUGUCUCAAGGUGAUGCUGUCACUGAAUACUGCAAGGUUGGGUGUGUAUCUUCUGUGUGCGGUGCUUUAGCCACUCUCCAAAACUCUGGUAAAGCUAACUCUCAAAACUCCUUAUCAUUACUAUCAAUUUUCUUAAAAAAUAAUAAACAAGAGAACAUAUAUAUGAUACAUUUCAAAUUUUAUUUCGAUAAAUAGAUGCAAGUGAAAUUGUGAAUGAAGCUGCUGGUAACUGUGCCUUGGCAUGUUCUAAAGUCUGCAACAAAGGUUCGAUGAAUGCAGUUGGAACCGCCUAGACAACCUUAUUCACAAAGAUACGAAGUACAUCAUCUAUGGAGUGUUGUUUUUCAUGUUUUUCAUCAAUAAUUGUGACAAAAGUGUAGAAGAUUAUCGAUCAUAUGCUUUCUAUUCCCUAUCUUUUCAAUAAUAUGUAAUUGUGUCAU
Molecule: long non-coding RNA, 30287 nt
Filed under: Capsella rubella
Lineage: Eukaryota; Viridiplantae; Streptophyta; Magnoliopsida; Brassicales; Brassicaceae
Description: long non-coding RNA (CRUB_LNC001790)
Source: RNAcentral